CCUACGGGAGGCAGCAGUGAGGAAUAUUGGUCAAUGGGCGGGAGCCUGAACCAGCCAAGUAGCGUGAAGGAUGACUGCCCUAAGGGUUGUAAACCUCUUUUAUCAAGGAAUAAAGUGAGGCACGUGUGCCUUUUUGUAUGUACUUUAUGAAUAAGGAUCGGCUAACUCCGUGCCAGCAGCCGCGGUAAUACGGAGGAUCCGAGCGUUAUCCGGAUUUAUUGGGUUUAAAGGGAGCGUAGGUGGGUUGUUAAGUCAGUUGUGAAAGUUUGCGGCUCAACCGUAGAAUUGCAGUUGAUACUGGCAGCCUUGAGUAGAGUAGAGGUAGGCGGAAUGCGUGGUGUAGCGGUGAAAUGCUUAGAUAUCACGAAGAACUCCGAUUGCGAAGGCAGCUUAC
This 394-nucleotide ribosomal RNA is filed under the name uncultured bacterium. RNAcentral describes it as "partial 16S ribosomal RNA". It matches the Rfam family "Bacterial small subunit ribosomal RNA", at positions 338 to 729 of the family's 1533-position model. The record is from RNAcentral.